AUUGAACGCUGGCGGCAUGCUUUACACAUGCAAGUCGAACGGCAGCGCGGGCUUCGGCCUGGCGGCGAGUGGCGAACGGGUGAGUAAUGCAUUUGAACGUGCCCAGUAGUGGGGGAUAGCCCGGCGAAAGCCGGAUUAAUACCGCAUACGACCUGAGGGUGAAAGCGGGGGACCGAAAGGCCUCGCGCUAUUGGAGCGGCCGAUGUCGGAUUAGCUAGUUGGUGGGGUAAAGGCUUACCAAGGCGACGAUCCGUAGCUGGUCUGAGAGGACGACCAGCCCCACUGGGACUGAGACAGGGCCCAGACUCCUACGGGAGGCAGCAGUGGGGAAUUUUGGACAAUGGGGGCAACCCUGAUCCAGCCAUGCCGCGUGCGAGAAGAAGGCCUUCGGGUUGUAAACCGCUUUUGUUCGGGAAGAAAUCCUCUGGGCUAAUACCCCGGGGGGAUGACGGUACCGGAAGAAUAAGCACCGGCUAACUACGUG
Molecule: ribosomal RNA, 484 nt
Filed under: uncultured bacterium
Lineage: Bacteria
Description: partial 16S ribosomal RNA
Rfam family: Bacterial small subunit ribosomal RNA
Source: RNAcentral